GAUGAACGCUGGCGGCGUGCCUAAUACAUGCAAGUCGAGCGAAAAGACGAUAAGCUUGCUCCUCUGACGUUAGCGGCGGACGGGUGAGUAACACAUGGAUAACCUACCUAUAAGACUGGGACAACUUCGGGAAACCGGAGCUAAUACCGGAUAAUACAUUGAACCGCAUGGAUCAAGAGUGAAAGACGGUUUUGCUGUCACAAAUAGAUGGUUCCGCGCCGCAUUAGCUAGUUGGUAAGGUAACGGCUCACCAAGGCAACGAUGCGUAGCCGACCUGAGAGGAUGAUCAGCCACACUGGAACUGAGACACGGUCCAGACUCCUACGGGAGGCAGCAGUAGGGAAUCUUCCGCAAUGGGCGAAAGCCUGACGCAGCAACGCCGCGUGGGUGAAGAAGGUCUUCGGAUCGUAAAGCUCUGUUAUUAGGGAAGAACAAAUGCGUAUUUAACUAUGCACGUCUUGACGGUACCUAAUCAGAAAGCCACGGCUAACUACGUG
This 497-nucleotide ribosomal RNA is filed under the name uncultured bacterium. RNAcentral describes it as "partial 16S ribosomal RNA". It matches the Rfam family "Bacterial small subunit ribosomal RNA", at positions 28 to 507 of the family's 1533-position model. The record is from RNAcentral.